UACGGAGGGGGCAAGCGUUAUUCGGAAUUAUUGGGCGUAAAGGGCGCGUAGGCGGCUAGAUGUGUCAAAGGUGAAAUCCCUCGGCUCAACUGAGGAACAGCGCUUGAUACUGCAAGGCUUGAGGGAGACAGGGGUAAGCGGAACUGAUGGUGGAGCGGUGAAAUGCGUUGAUAUCAUCAGGAACACCGGUGGCGAAGGCGGCAUCCUGGACCGGUAUUGACGCUGAGGCGCGAAAGCUAGGGGAGCAAACGGG
RNAcentral lists this ribosomal RNA (253 nucleotides) under uncultured bacterium. RNAcentral describes it as "partial 16S ribosomal RNA". It matches the Rfam family "Bacterial small subunit ribosomal RNA", at positions 524 to 776 of the family's 1533-position model. The record is from RNAcentral.